CAAGAGCGUAUAUUAAAGUUGCUGCGGUUAAAAAGCUCGUAGUUGGAUUUCAGUCUAGGAAGGUUAACUCGCCGAAAGGUUGUACGUUGAUUUUCCUCAGACUUCGUCAGAAGCUCGUGCUGCACUUAACUGUGUGGUACGAUGUUCUGACCUUUUACCUUGAGGAAAGUAGAGUGUUUCAGGCAGGCUACCCAGCUUGAAUACAUUAGCAUGGAAUAAUGAAAUGGAUCUCGGUUCGAUUUCGUUGGUUCUAGAGCUGAGGUGAUGAUCAAUAGGAACAGGCGAAGGUAUUCGUACUUGAGAGUGAGGAGUGAAAUCCGAUGAUCUCUUAAAGACGAUCCGAGGCGAAAGCAUUUGUCAAGGAUGUUUUCAUUGG
This 376-nucleotide ribosomal RNA is filed under the name uncultured eukaryote. RNAcentral describes it as "partial 18S ribosomal RNA". It matches the Rfam family "Eukaryotic small subunit ribosomal RNA", at positions 592 to 976 of the family's 1831-position model. The record is from RNAcentral.